This 578-nucleotide long non-coding RNA is filed under the name Mus pahari (shrew mouse). RNAcentral describes it as "lncRNA (MGP_PahariEiJ_G0003847.1)". The record is from RNAcentral. Lineage: Eukaryota; Metazoa; Chordata; Mammalia; Rodentia; Muridae.
CCUGGUCCGUGGGUCGGAUAUCUGGCGGUCACACCCAGCGCGAAGAUCUGCGGGCGGAAACGGAAUCUGCUCCUUCCGGGAAAGGCUGGCUGCGCGGUUGCGUGCAGCGUGUGUUGAGGAGCAGCUCUGGAAACUUAAAGAGCCCGACGAUCAAGUGAUCUUGCCAACUACCAUUUUAAUCAACUUCAUGUUUUAUUUUGUUGUGGUGGUACAGGCAUGAUAUUUCAAGCUUGUCAACAUAUUCAUGGAGGCAGAGACAGGAGGAUUGCUAUUAGGUCCGUGCCAGCCUGGCCUACGCAAGCCCAAUGCAAGCCCUGGCAGAUGUCUUCAACACCAGAGUGACACUCAGGCCAGGAUUGAGGGCUGGAAGCACAGGGGCAAGAAAUACCUUUGAAACACUCCAGUGCCCAAAUUGCUCACUGGUGUUUCUGCCUUGUGAGCCAGGGCACGAGGCUUUGUUUGGGUCACUACUUUUCAUUCCUUCCAAGAUGGACAAGAUGUUUGUUUUGUGCACAGUAAGUGGAACACAGGGCCUCCAGCAUGGUGCUUGUAUGAUCUCAUCAGAAACUAAGGAAUAG